UGGGGAAUAUUGCACAAUGGGGGAAACCCUGAUGCAGCCAUGCCGCGUGUGUGAAGAAGGCCUUCGGGUUGUAAAGCACUUUCAGUAGGGAGGAAAGGUAGCAGCUUAAUACGUUGUUACUGUGACGUUACCUACAGAAGAAGGACCGGCUAACUUCGUGCCAGCAGCCGCGGUAAUACGAGGGGUCCAAGCGUUAAUCGGAAUUACUGGGCGUAAAGCGUACGCAGGCGGUUCAUUAAGCCAGAUGUGAAAUCCCCGGGCUCAACCUGGGAAUUGCAUUUGGAACUGGUGAACUAGAGUCUUGUAGAGGGGGGUAGAAUUUCAGGUGUAGCGGUGAAAUGCGUAGAGAUCUGAAGGAAUACCGGUGGCGAAGGCGGCCCCCUGGACAAAGACUGACGCUCAUGUACGAAAGCGUGGGGAGCAAACA
Molecule: ribosomal RNA, 427 nt
Filed under: Shewanella japonica
Lineage: Bacteria; Pseudomonadati; Pseudomonadota; Gammaproteobacteria; Alteromonadales; Shewanellaceae
Description: bacterial SSU rRNA
Rfam family: Bacterial small subunit ribosomal RNA
Source: RNAcentral